UGGGGAAUUUUGGACAAUGGGCGCAAGCCUGAUCCAGCCAUGCCGCGUGCGGGAAGAAGGCCUUCGGGUUGUAAACCGCUUUUGUCAGGGAAGAAAUCUUCUGAGUUAAUACCUCGGGAGGAUGACGGUACCUGAAGAAUAAGCACCGGCUAACUACGUGCCAGCAGCCGCGGUAAUACGUAGGGUGCAAGCGUUAAUCGGAAUUACUGGGCGUAAAGCGUGCGCAGGCGGUUUUGUAAAACAGAGGUGAAAUCCCCGGGCUCAACCUGGGAACUGCCUUUGUGACUGCAAGGCUUGAGUGCGGCAGAGGGGGAUGGAAUUCCGCGUGUAGCAGUGAAAUGCGUAGAUAUGCGGAGGAACACCGAUGGCGAAGGCAAAUCCCCUGGGCCUGCACUGACGCUCAUGCACGAAAGCGUGGGGAGCAAACAGGAUUAGAUACCCUGGUAGUCCACGCCCUAAAACGAUGUCAAACUGGUUGUUGGGGAAGGUUCCUUCUCAGUAACGUAGCUAACGCGUGAANUUGACCGCUGGGGAGUACGGCCGCAAGGUUGAAAACUCAAAUGAAUUGACGGGGUCAUAGCUGUUUCCUG
RNAcentral lists this ribosomal RNA (590 nucleotides) under uncultured bacterium. RNAcentral describes it as "partial 16S ribosomal RNA". It matches the Rfam family "Bacterial small subunit ribosomal RNA", at positions 355 to 1376 of the family's 1533-position model. The record is from RNAcentral.